UCCCGUAUCUGGCGUUGUGCGAGGCUGACUGAUGUUUCCGGAGAGUCGGGUUGCUCGGGAUUGCAGCCUGAACGGGAGGUAAAUUUCUCCUAAAGCUAAAUACUGGCGAGAGACCGAUAGCGAACAAGUACCGUGAGGGAAAGAUGCAAAGAACUUUGAAAAGAGAGUUAAAGAGUGCCUGAACUUGUUGGGGGGAAAGCGUUUGCGCCCAGUGUGCCGCCGUCAACUCAGCCUUUUGAAGGGUGUACUUUGGCGGUGGCUGCCAGGGUGGGUUGGGCGCGCGCGUCUCGGCCCCCGCGAGGCCCUUUGGGCGACCGGGUGGCUUUGGCGUGCUCCUGACUGAGGCUCGCUCUGCGCGGGUGUGUGCGGCGUCGUGGUGUGUGUCCCAAGCAACUUGUGUUCGCCCACGGCAAAGCUUCAGCCCGCCUUUAGCGUGACCCUGGCGAAAUGGUCGCAACCGACCCGUCUAGAAACACGGACCAAGGAGUCUGACGAAUGCGCGAGUCUUCGGGUGUCAAACCUGCGGGCGGAAUGAAAGUGAGAGGUGCUCAGCACCGACCGACCGUGAUCUCCUGUGAAUGGUUUGAGUGCGAGCGUGUUCGUCGGGACCCGAAAGAUGGUGAACUAUGCCUGAGUAGGGUGAAGCCUGAAGAAAUUCAGGUGGAGGCUCGUAGCGAUACUGACGUGCAAAUCGUUCGUCGAACUUGGGUAUAGGGGCGAAAGACUAAUCGAACCAUCUAGUAGCUGGUUCCCUCCGAAGUUUCCCUCAGGAUAGCUGGAGCUCAUUUGUUCAGUUUUGU
Molecule: ribosomal RNA, 800 nt
Filed under: Rebecca sp. EMB-2011
Lineage: Eukaryota; Haptophyta; Pavlovophyceae; Pavlovales; Pavlovaceae
Description: eukaryotic LSU rRNA
Rfam family: Eukaryotic large subunit ribosomal RNA
Source: RNAcentral